UUCCUACGCCGCUCCGUACUUGUUCCCCACCCCGCAUCUGAAACCCUAAAAUGGAUUCCUCAGCCGCAGAUGACCCUAUGGCAGAUGAAGCCGGAGUAGAAGAUGCCUUCACACAGGAGAUCACCGAUUAUUCGUACGUCCCUAGAUACCAUGUGUUGAGUUGGAUGGAAACUGUGGAGGGGAUGGUGGCCGGUGUGGCGGCGCUUCCGCCGGUGUAUUUGAUACUGAACAGAGAUCUUCUUGAGACGGGAUGGGGAUAGAAGAGGCUGGUGCCCUACAGACCUGGUUAUGUUGAGUGGCAUGUGUUCAAGAAAUACCUUGGGGACUAUUUCGACCAUAAUCGUGAAGCUUUUCUUUGUGCCGAGCAGAAGCCUGAUCCAUUUGGAUGGAUUAUUGCUGAAAAGAGUGCCCUGAUUGCUGCAGCCAAAUUGUGCCUCAAGAUGGAGAAGGCACUUCUCAGGUACUGUGCUAGCUUUCUCACUCCUGACGACAAAAGGAUGAUCCUCGGGAUCAAGGACCAGGCAAAGCAAAUGAUCCAAUCAGAGGUGCUUCAAGCAAUGGUUCAAAUGGGUGUCCUUGUUCCUACUGGAGAUAUGACUGUUGUCAGAAGAACCGCUCAAUUUUUCCUUAAUAGCUUUCAAGAGUGCCUAAUAGCACAAAGGAAGGAGAGAGAAAUGGCAACCGCAGAACUGGGUUUCAAAAAGCAAUUAACUAAGGAGGAGAAGUUUGAAAAGAGGAAGCAGAGACUUGCUGCAAUCGGAGAGGAUCUUUUGGCGAUUGCUGCUGAUCAACCAUUUCGCUUCCCUGCCACAUUUACAUUUGUGGUCAGAGCAUUCUCAGUUCUAGAUGGUACUGGGAAAGGCCUUCAUCCUAGGUUUCAUAUUACAGAGAUUGCUAAGCCAAAUGCCAAGGAAUUGCUAAGAUUUAAUGACGCUGGUGUUGAAAUAGUUGUGAAGGUGUGUGGAGAGACAUGUGUAUUCCUCCUAUGACGAAUUCCUUAGGCUCCAUGAAGGUAAGCCUGUCUUAAUGGGCUUGAUUGUUGAACCUGACUUAGUACUUUUAUCCAUGUCACGGCGUUGAACCAGACAGUCACUCAUGUCCUUAGGAUAUUAACGGUAUACAUCAACAAUUCAUUCUAUUUUAAUUGCUUGCAAAACUUUUUUGGCCCUUCAAAUGAGUUCCACGCAUCAAGAAGUCAAGAUUCCAGGAGGCCUAAAAUAGGAGAGGAGGGCGCAGCUUGAUUCAAUCCAUGUCAAGUCAGAGGCUGCUGCGAGGUUUGCACAUGCAAGUAGAAUUUAGAUGGUGAGGUUUUGUCUCUGUUCCCAUUUUUAUAACGACUAGGUGUUUGAAU
RNA transcript from Zea mays, 1351 nucleotides. RefSeq lists it as uncharacterized. The record is from RefSeq and is marked validated. The transcript is spliced from 10 exons. Lineage: Eukaryota; Viridiplantae; Streptophyta; Magnoliopsida; Poales; Poaceae.